UACGUAGGCGGCGCUGUCAGUCGGGUGUGAAAUCCCUCGGCUCAACCGAGGAAUAGCGCCCGAUACUGCAGUGCUUGAGGGAGACAGAGGUAAGCGGAACUGAUGGUGGAGCGGUGAAAUGCGUUGAUAUCAUCAGGAACACCGGUGGCGAAAGCGGCUUACUGGGUCUCUUCUGACGCUGAGGUACGAAAGCUAGGGUAGCGAAGG
This 207-nucleotide ribosomal RNA is filed under the name uncultured bacterium. RNAcentral's name for it is "partial 16S ribosomal RNA". It matches the Rfam family "Bacterial small subunit ribosomal RNA", at positions 568 to 774 of the family's 1533-position model. The record is from RNAcentral.